GGUCGCUGACCGAGAUGUCUGGGUGCGACAAAGAUUGCGCCCAGAUAAACAAGUCAGACUCGCACUCGGUAGUGAGUGAUGGGCGACAAAAGGCAAGGCCAACACAAAGGGGCAUUUUUGUUAUCGAAAAGCCCUUGAAGCAACUAAAGCUAAAGAACCUGAGGUUAGCUAAAAAUCAUCUGGCUUGCUCAGAAGGUCUGUUUGGGUGUUUCGUGUUCGCAGGGCAGCACCUGUUGUACUGUUCUGCCUGUAGCCGUUUACCCUCACACCUCCAUUUUCAAAAACAUUUUCCUGGCAUGGAGAAUUUGUUGGUGAUUUGGCUGGCUAGAGGUGGCAGUACUCAUCUGCACGUGACAUUUAUGAAUGUUUUCCAACAGCAUCUACCAGAUAUCAGGAACAAGGGAAAGGAAGGCACCAAAGUUAAAGCUAAGAGUUCCAGUUUGAAUAUCUACUUUUCUGGAUUCUGGAAAAUUACGGUAUAAACAGGGUGAUUCAAAAAGAAUUGCACCUUGGCCACCCAGAUCCUCAGAUGUCUCACUUUGCAACUUCCUUCAGACAGAAUACCUCCGGAACCUCACAUCUGUACUGCACCUUCAUUUUUUUUCAACCUUCAAAAAAUGAAGAAUCUUGUCCUGGCUGCCAUUUCAGUUGUCAAAGUCUAGGUUUCAGGAACCGGACAUGAAUCUCUGUGUGACUGAAAUGAACCACCUGUUGUCUUCAAAUGGAAGUGAAGAAAAGGUCGAGUUUUUCCUGGCUCCUGGAGUGCCCUCCCCCACCGCAUGGUCUACUUGACAGGUUUUAAGACUUGGCUGAAGUGGAAUAGCCUCUGUGAAGACUUCCUUGAUGUCACCUUCCUUCUGGGUAAAUUAUCACACGAAAGACCAGAGGCAGCUGCAUCAGACAGGUUGGAAAAGUAUGCAUUUAUUUCUAAAGAGAAUGAACCUAUUAAGAAAGUUUGAAAAAUGGUGCAAAAGAAAUAUAUACCAUCAAUCAAGACUAUGUAUUAACUUUGAGUAAUUGUAGUCUGAAAUCCACAUUCCUGGAGCAAAGAAGUGACAUACCUGCCGUAGAUCAAUGUAAACAUGGAGACAGAACAAUGAGAGCCUGUACAAUAAACGAAGAGGAAGAUUGGUACCAGAUCAAAACAUUUCCCUCAUCUGCCUGCAGUUUAAUCUGGGAAGAACUGGAAUUAAGUUCUGGACCACACCAUGUUUAUGACUGACUACUUAUUAAUUGUAUUUAAAUGUGUCAUAAAGUUAAAUGUGUAGUAAACUAUAUGAAUUUUAUUUCAUAUUUUGAGUUUUUUGAUUUAUAACUACUAAUUCCUUCUAUCAUGAUAAAGUUGUGGGUUGAAAGUACCCAUUCGAUAUUACGAAAGGUAAAUACCACAAUCAGUAGAUCAGAGUGGUGGUUACAAUCAAGAUUCUAGUGACCAAAGUCAGACCAGUUGGGUCCGCAGUAUGCUUUAUAGACUAGUAUCUCUGUAGGACCUGUUACUCUUUGAAUAUUUAUUCAAUAAUUGAAUAAUUCAAUGUUCAAUUGAAUAAUUCAGUAACUGAAGGUCUAAGCGUCAGGCAUUGUUUUGAUCUUAUAACCUUCUCAAGAAUCUAUGAAUUAAGUUGUAAUUUCUCCACUUAAGGAUAAUGAAGCUGAAGCUUAGGAAGGUUUAAGUACCUUCACCAGCCAACAAGAAGAGCGCUCAAGAUCCAAACCUAGUUCGUUCCAAAGUAAAGCUCGGUCUUAACUACCGUGCAGGUCUGUUUCUGUGCUACAUCUCUGGAUGAUUUCAUUUCAGGGCAUUUGUGUCUGAAUUGAGGAUAAUCUUUUGCACCAAAUUGAUACAGAUUUUGAUGGUAAUCUGUGUAUCAUGAAUCAUGGUUAGUCACAGAAAUUAUUUGUUCACUUUGUAAUUGUUACACCUUAAACUCUUUAAUGAAAAUGAGUUUAAUGAAAUGGCUGAUAGUAAUAUUUGAGGCCUAAUUGUCAGCUUGGGCAGGUGGACCACAGGCUUGGUAUUUAAUCACAUAAUGUGCCUUUGUGAAAACAGAACAGUUGUAAGACCGGCAUCAGCAAUUCCUGAGGGAGGAUUCCAAGAAGCAGCUAAGAAGACCUUGAAAAUUCCCCUGGGUAUUAUGGAUUUCAUUUUAAGUGAAAAUGCAAAGCAAUUAAAUUUCUUGUAACUGAAUUCCUUAAUUAUACACAGUUUCUAUUGCUCAUUUUUUAGUUAAAAGUUGACCUUGAUUUCUUGGAAAUAUGUAAAAAUAUAGUUGCAAAUGGAAAAAGACUGGAAGAUAAUAUACAAGAAAAAAUAUUUUUGGUCUUAGGAUAGUAGGAGAGCUAGGAUGA
Equus quagga is the source of this 2346-nucleotide long non-coding RNA. RefSeq lists it as uncharacterized. The record is from RefSeq and is a predicted model, not a curated record. NCBI's taxonomy places the organism in Eukaryota, Metazoa, Chordata, Mammalia, Perissodactyla, Equidae. The transcript is spliced from 5 exons.